This 1861-nucleotide long non-coding RNA is filed under the name Oryctolagus cuniculus (rabbit). RNAcentral's name for it is "lncRNA (ENSOCUG00000036203.1)". The record is from RNAcentral. Lineage: Eukaryota; Metazoa; Chordata; Mammalia; Lagomorpha; Leporidae.
UGUUAGUACUUUAUCCACAGCAACAAGAGGUCUGUGCCCAGCAGAACGAUAACCUCAGGAUCAGGGCUGACUGCUCUGUGGGCGUCAGCAGUCACGUGUCUGCUUCGCAGUCCUGUUCCAGCCCCGGCACUGGGGCCGCAGGCCGCUCCCCAGAAGGACGCUCACGUUUUAGGAGCUCAGAGAGGCUGUGCUGGCAGUGGAGUCUUGUACACCAGGAGGCUGAACUGGGGAGCAGGCAGAGGGGAGGACCCUAGGAGAACCCCGUAAAAUAAUUCCAGGGCCUGAAGGUGACCCUUACACCCUAGCACUGGCAACAGACAGGUUGGCCAAGAACAGACAGAGUCCAAGAUCAUAAAACACAAACGAGCGCCCAUCCUCCUCCAGGUUGCAGAACUCCCGGCAGGUGCGUCAGGUGAAUUUUCUCUUCAUUUUGUUUGCAGGGCACUUAGACUGGGGGAUUCAGGACUGACCGUUCCCCAAGUUGAAGUUCUCUUCAAAACCACUGCGCAGGGUGGGGGUGAGCCUUCAGCCCAGCAGUUCAGACCCCUCGUCCGGGGCUUGAGCCCUGCUCUGCCCUGACUCCAGCUUCCCGCUGAGCCACACUCGGGGAGGCAGCAGGUGAAGGCUAAUGUGGUUGGGUCCCCGUCUCCCAUAAAGGAGCCCUGGAUGGAGUUCCCACUCCUCAUCAUCCUCCCCCAGUCCCAACCACUGCAGGCAUUCGGGGAGUGAAACAGACAGGAGCUCUCUCUCUCCCUCUCCAUCCUCCGCUGCCUUCCCAGGCACAUUAGCAGGGAGCUGGAUCAAAGUGGAGCAGCCAAGACGCAAACUGGUGCCCAUAUGGGAUGCCGGGAUGGCGGGAAGUGGCUUGAAAGUUAUUCUAUAAUGCUGGUCUCUCAAAUGUUUUUUAGAAACAUUUUUUUUUUAAAAGAAAUCCCGCUGGGUUUUGAUAAGAAAAUGCUGGUUCUUCCAGGGGAACCAACUCUCAGGAGGAGGAGGAGUCUGGGAACCUGUGGUUCUAGAAGCUUCUCCUGGAACCAUGGAACCCUCCCCCGUUUGCCUGGAGCUGCUAAGGUGGAAGAAAAACAAACCCAGGGGCCCAGGCGCUCCACACCUAGACACACACCCUUGACAGAAACGACGUGCCAAAGCGUGAAAAAAAUCACGCUCGUGGAAACCACCCAGAUGCCCACCUACAGCCGAGUGCACCGAGUGCUGCAAUACGACACAGACCCGCGCUACCACACACGCUGGCAUGGACGAGCCAGUGAAAGGAGCCGCACAGGAGGGGACACAGAGCACAACGCCACUGUGUGCAAUUCAAGAUCAGUUCACCUACGCAGAGGGCGGCUCCCCUCCAGGGGGCGCUCUUCCCAGGGAGGGCCGUGGAAGGACUCCACACCUGCUACCUCUUUGCUCCAGACUAAGGCUCCGCAGCACUGCCUUCAGACCAGCCGUGCGGGGUGAGCCCUGAAGCUCACAGCUCCCGCAACCACCCUGCACAGACUCUGCUCCCCAACUCCCCCCGCCGUUCUCCCAGCACACGUGAGCGCAGCGGGCGUCACCGUGCUGGUUAAGCCGCCACUUGGACACCUGCGUGCCCCACCAGAGCUGGUUUGAGUCCCAGCUGCCCCACUUCUGACCCAGCCUCCUGUCACUGCACCCGGGAAGGCAGCAGCAGAUGGUCCCAGGACUUGGGAUCCUGCCACCCGGACGGGAGAUCGGGGUGGAUUCCUGGCUCUUGGCUCCAGGCUGGACCAGCCCUGGCCAUUGUGGACAUUUGGGGAAUGAACCAGUGAGGAUCGAUCUCUCUCUCCCCUGCCUUUUAAAUAAAUGCAUCUGUAAAUGUGAGUAAAAUGGUGUU